Gordionus sp. m RMFG-2023 is the source of this 611-nucleotide long non-coding RNA. RefSeq lists it as uncharacterized. The record is from RefSeq and is a predicted model, not a curated record. The transcript is spliced from 5 exons. NCBI's taxonomy places the organism in Eukaryota, Metazoa, Nematomorpha, Gordioida, Chordodea, Parachordodidae.
UUUCCAAAAUUUACUACGUAACCUUUAUAUUGCUAAACCUAAUACUGUACACUCAUUGGAUGGUUAUUCUGUUGCUCAACUUAGAUGGGCUCUUAUGAGAGAACCAAGCGUUGCUCUAUGACAUUUUAAGGCUAGUGCGCUUAAUAUCACGUAUCACGUAAAUAUUAUAUACAAAAAAACAACAAUUGAUUUUCAAAAUUUUAAUCGACAAACAAGAGUGCUUAGUGCUCAACACAACUUUCGCAGGGCUAAACACGUUCAAAUGGCGCAGAGAAUUAUCUUUAUUUUGAAAAAAGCUUAAUAGAUCAUCUUCACGGGGAUCUUCAUUCAUUUCCUCAUUAAAAAAAUGCAUCCUUAUGAGAAAAUAUUCUGGUUUUGAUGCACAAUGACAAACCUGUCGUUGUGACAAUGGUGUUGGAGAGCGGAGGAGACCGGCCCUUUACAACCUUCAGUCUAAUGCAAAUCACACAUUGUGACCGGUGGGACAACAAGGAGAUGUGUCAAAUUGUAUUCUAAUACAAAAAAAAAAUUCCAGAAGAACGUAAGAAAAAUAUGUAAAUAAAGGUGAAAAGGAAAAAUUAUGUUGUUAAGAUUAUGUUUAUGUAGAAUAU